CCUACGGGAGGCAGCAGUAGGGAAUAUUGCUCAAUGGGGGAAACCCUGAAGCAGCAACGCCGCGUGGAGGAUGAAGGUUUUAGGAUCGUAAACUCCUUUUGUGAGAGAAGAUAAUGACGGUAUCUAACGAAUAAGCACCGGCUAACUCCGUGCCAGCAGCCGCGGUAAUACGGAGGGUGCAAGCGUUACUCGGAAUCACUGGGCGUAAAGAGCGCGUAGGCGGGAUAGCAAGUCAGAUGUGAAAUCCUAUGGCUUAACCAUAGAACUGCAUUUGAAACUGUUAUUCUAGAGUAUGGGAGAGGUAGGUGGAAUUCUUGGUGUAGGGGUAAAAUCCGUAGAGAUCAAGAGGAAUACUCAUUGCGAAGGCGACCUGCUAGAACAUAACUGACGCUGAUGCGCGAAAGCGUGGGGAGCAAACAGGAUUAGAUACCCCAGUAGUC
RNAcentral lists this ribosomal RNA (440 nucleotides) under uncultured bacterium. RNAcentral's name for it is "partial 16S ribosomal RNA". It matches the Rfam family "Bacterial small subunit ribosomal RNA", at positions 338 to 795 of the family's 1533-position model. The record is from RNAcentral.